GCAAGUUUGUUUGUCUUGUUGAUGAUUUCUGAUGCUCUUUAGAUUUAGAUUACUGCCUAUCUUAAGUAUUUUUUUUUUAUUUGAAAACAUGGUUUAAGAUUUGUGUUUCACUAUUUUAUAAAAACAUGUCUCUGGGAAAUUUUUUUUACUCCAAAAGUGUUCUUUUGUAUGAGAUUUAGCUGUUGUCCGUAUCAGAAUUUACAUUAGCGUAACCUUCAUUUACUUACUUACAAGAAUACAUAUAGCCUGUGGAAACUAUGGUUUAAGGUCCCUAUUUAACUAGGUAUUAUGUAAGAGCAUGCCGAUAAGAAAUUUUAUUCGAAAGUGCUCAUCUGAAUGUGAUUUAUUUUCUGCCCAUAUCAUAAAGUGUUGUUCUGGAUUUUCCCUACUCUGUUUGGAAUUAGAAAACGUAGCUUAGAACUUAGAGGUAUCUUUUUUAUAUAUAUAUAUAUAUCUAUGAAAAUGAUCUGGUGCUUAAGUCAAGUUUGGGACAAGCUCAAAGUCUCUGUCAAAAGCAUGCUGUAAUAUUUAAAAAAAAAAAAAUCACUCUUUUUGAUUGGGUUUGAAAGCAUGUUAGUAGCUCAAAGUUUUCCUUAAUAGCAUAUUAAUAGCCCAAGAAGUCCACUGAUUUAGCUUUAAUUAUGUUCCUCCCAUGUUUAUGGCUAAUGAUAUAUUCUAUUUAUAGCACCAUAUGCUCUUGAUGUGAAAGAUAUAAAUGUAACAAAAUGGAGUACCAUGUUAGAAUACUUUGAGAACGAGUUUUGUUCACAAGUGUAUAUUUGUUAUCCUUGAUGGUGACGCUUAUUUUUCUUAUCUAUUCUCCUUUAUAUAAGAGUUUCUUAUACUAAUCCUUCUUUUCAUCUCUUUAUUUUGCAUGUCACGGAGUCGCAAAGAGUCUCGAAUGAGACUCACAUCGCCGAUAGUCAAAAUUUGCAUACAUCUAUGUCGUCCCCUCGCUGUACCUCCAAGCAGAAAAAGAAAAGGAAAUUAAAAGAGGGACGAUGAAGCUUCCAUUCCUUAUUAUUCAUUUCCUUGCACUCCCCCAUCCGAACAAGAAAAAAAAAAAGAAAUGAGAGCGAGGGUGUUGCUUUUAUUUUCUUUGAUUCUGUUAUGAUAUGGUUGUUUUGGUAUUAAUCUGUUGAACUUUUACUUUGCUUUUGAUGAUAGAGGGAUAGGUCCCGGAUUAUUUUGUAACUUAGAAAGGGUAGAUGUUAUGUGGGGAAACCAAUAGCUUCUUUUCUUUCUCAUUUUGGUAGUCCUUAAUACCUAUAAUUAAGAAACCAGAAUUUGUUUAUACAAUAACUUUUUUUGCAAAUUGGUUUUCCAGAACUUCAAUAGCUUCUUUCGAGUUAAUGAAAAUUGGUUUUCCUUAUGGUGAAGGAAGUUGAAAUACUAUUAAGCAAGUAUUGGCUAAACCUUUUUUUCUUAACAAACAAUUAUCAAGUUCUAAUAUAGAGGUGCAACUUUUAUUUUUAAGAAGGAACUAAUUAAAGGAAGUACUUUUUUUUUUUUUACGUCACUGGAACAUUUUUUUUUUAUCAUUCAGGUUUCUUUGAUCAUUGAACAUUCAUAUGAUAUAUUUCCAGCCAAAGAUUUAAACUUGCAAGACUUCUUUAAAUGAUAACUUAGUGCUGAGUUCCAUUUUUAAAAAAAAUGACACCAACAUGCAUGGAUUACAAAAUGAUUUUAAGCUAUCCCACUUGGUGGAUGCCCUAGUAUUUUCUUCAUUUAAAUUUAGAAAGUCCUCACGUUAUUAAUUGCCAAAGAUUUCUACUUUAAUCACGUAAAUACUUAAUUAAGAGUACCUUUUUCUCAAGUUAUUUGUAAGAUAUUAAUAUACUAUAUGUUGUCACUAUUUCUUAUAUUAACCUAAGUUUAGUCGGUUAACCGUAUUUAACGGAUCUUAAAGGAUACUUAACCCCUUCUCUUUAGGAUAAUUUGGACUCUUACCUAGAAUCACGUUAGUUAAGUAGACCAUUAAUUGGAGUUAAUUUUUAGCAUUUACUUAGUUAAUAAUUAGGUGUCCUAAUUCACCGUUAAAAUAAUUAGGUGGCGACUCCUUAAGUUGAAUAAUUAGGAAUCACCAAUAUAUUAUACUCCGCUUUGACCCAGUUAAAAUGGGGUA
Lycium ferocissimum is the source of this 2125-nucleotide long non-coding RNA. RefSeq lists it as uncharacterized. The record is from RefSeq and is a predicted model, not a curated record. The transcript is spliced from 3 exons. Lineage: Eukaryota; Viridiplantae; Streptophyta; Magnoliopsida; Solanales; Solanaceae.